GACGAACGCUGGCGGCGUGCUUAACACAUGCAAGUCGAACGGAAAGACCCGGCUUUUGUGGGGUUCUCGAUUGGCGCACGCGUGUGUGUCACACGUGUAACCUCCCCCUAACUUUCGGGUAUCUUCUCGGAACUGGGGCUAAUACCGGGUAGGAGCUCUUGCUGCAUGGUGGGGAUUGGAGAGUUUCGGCGGUUGGGGAUGUACUAGCGGCUUAUCAGCUUGUUGGUGGGGUAGUUGCUUACCCAGGCUUUGACGGGUAGCCGGCCUGAGAGGGUGACAGGCCACACUGGGACUGAGAGAAGGCCCAGACUGCUACGGGAGGCAGCAGGGGGGAAUAUUGCAGAAGGGGCGGAAGCCUGAUGCAGCAACGCCGCGUGCGGGAUGACGGUCUUCGGGUUGUAAACCGCUUUCGCCUGUGACGAAGCGUGAGUGAAGGUAAUGGGUAAAGAAGCACCGGCUAACUACGUG
Molecule: ribosomal RNA, 468 nt
Filed under: uncultured bacterium
Lineage: Bacteria
Description: partial 16S ribosomal RNA
Rfam family: Bacterial small subunit ribosomal RNA
Source: RNAcentral